RNAcentral lists this unclassified non-coding RNA (320 nucleotides) under fungal sp. RNAcentral's name for it is "partial internal transcribed spacer region". The stretch from base 1 to 46 matches the Rfam family "Eukaryotic small subunit ribosomal RNA", at positions 1786 to 1831 of the family's 1831-position model. The record is from RNAcentral. Lineage: Eukaryota; Fungi.
AAGUCGUAACAAGGUUUCCGUAGGUGAACCUGCGGAAGGAUCAUCAAUAGUUCCAUUAAACGUUACAUGGUUAUCUUAACGGGUGACCAUGUGGCGAAACCUUCUUGUGCACUGUUGUUAAGUCAUGGGGGACUGGGGGGAGUUGUAUGUUGCCAGUAGCCGCUUGCGGUGACGGCAGCGUGCGCCUCCCAGCCCGCCGUCAGUUAUCAUUACACACUCUGAUAAAAUAAAGUCUGAUCUGUUGUAUUGUCACUGAGUAACAUCAGAGACGAGUUAAUAUAUUACUGAUACAACUUAUAGCGAUGGAUCUCUAGGCUCUG